Molecule: small RNA, 640 nt
Filed under: Pan troglodytes (chimpanzee)
Lineage: Eukaryota; Metazoa; Chordata; Mammalia; Primates; Hominidae
Description: processed transcript
Source: RNAcentral
AAUUGGCUUUGUGAAUCCUAGGUGGUAGGUCCAACAAAAGGAUGAUGGCAUUUAUUUGCCUUUAUAUUAUUUUAAUACCUGUCCGGGGAAAAUACAACACUCUGACAACAGCCUUAGAAAUAGCAUCCCAUCUGGAUUGUUAAGACCACGGCAACUGGCACAUUCGACCAAGUUCUUAGGGUGAAGUCUCAGUAGGCCAGUCCAGGUGUAAUCUCACUCUGGUGGGUUCAGAGCGGGAAGCAAGAUGAAAAAUAAGGAGCAGAUCUGAAUAAUAAAUCACUGUUACUGGGCACCAUAACACAGACGAGAAAUUUUCCCCAUCCUCAGCGGGCUCACCCUCCUGCACAAGGAAUGAACUACAGGACAUGAUCUCAAACACCUACAGAUGCAUCUUGCAGGAAGCGUGCACCCUUCAGUGAAAGAUCCUCUUCUGGACUCGCUAUGCAGCUCAGCUGAAAUGGAUCAGGUCUCAAACCUGGGAGUAAUGUGGUCAUUGCAUCCCGUAAGUUGGAGAGAUUGAAGUCUGCGGCAGAUGAACUGCAGGCCAACCUACCUCCCACAAAGCAGGCACGAGUCAUUCCCAUACAAUGCAACAUCCGGAACGAGGAGGAGGUGAAUAAUUUGGUCAAAUCUACCUUAG